GAUGAACGCUGGCGGCGUGCCUAAUACAUGCAAGUCGAGCGAACGGACGAGAAGCUUGCUUCUCUGAUGUUAGCGGCGGAAGGGUGAGUAACACGUGGAUAACCUACCUAUAAGACUGGGAUAACUUCGGGAAACCGGAGCUAAUACCGGGUAAUAUUUUGAACCGCAUGGUUCAAAAGUGAAAGACGGUCUUGCUGUCACUUAUAGAUGGAUCCGCGCUGCAUUAGCUAGUUGGUAAGGUAACGGCUUACCAAGGCAACGAUGCAUAGCCGACCUGAGAGGGUGAUCGGCCACACUGGAACUGAGACACGGUCCAGACUCCUACGGGAGGCAGCAGUAGGGAAUCUUCCGCAAUGGGCGAAAGCCUGACGGAGCAACGCCGCGUGAGUGAUGAAGGUCUUCGGAUCGUAAAACUCUGUUAUUAGGGAAGAACAUAUGUGUAAGUAACUGUGCACAUCUUGACGGUACCUAAUCAGAAAGCCACGGCUAACUACGUG
RNAcentral lists this ribosomal RNA (497 nucleotides) under uncultured bacterium. RNAcentral describes it as "partial 16S ribosomal RNA". It matches the Rfam family "Bacterial small subunit ribosomal RNA", at positions 28 to 507 of the family's 1533-position model. The record is from RNAcentral.